GCGCAGAGCAGCGCGGCCGCUCCUCGGCCCUGGCCAGCCCAAGUCACCGCCGCCGCUGCCACCUCGACGGCGGCCACCGGGAGGAAACGCUGUGCUCUGAAGGGGACAGAAGGGAUUCCCGCGGGACCCAGGCCCCCUGAGAUCUUCGGGAAGAUUCCGGCAACCGUCCCGCAUGCUCCUUCCACCCAGGACAAUGAGGACAGGAGGGGGAACCCUCUCCCCGCGCCAGGGUGGCCACCUAGUUGACAAUAACUUGAUCCUCUAUCGCAGGAGCGCAGUGGAUCUGCGGCGUGGAGGUCCUGCCUCGGGAGGUCUGAGCUGGAGCCCAAGACUCCACAUUUCUAAUGAGCUCCAGAUGAUAUCCUGCUGCUGAUCCGUGGACCACCCUUUGAGAUACGAAGUGGCCUUGUUCUCCGCUUUUCAGUUUUGCUGAUUGACGACAUCGCCCUGCUCACUUCAGCCUCCGGCCCCCCAUCUCCUUGAGACCUAACACCAUGCCUUCAAUUAAGUUGCAGAGUUCUGAUGGAGGGAUAUUUGAAGUUGAUGUUGAAAUUGCACAACAGUCUGUGACCAUCAAGACUAUGUUGGAAGAUUUGGGAAUGGAUGAUGAAGGAGAUGAUGAUCCAGUAUUAAAAAAGGCCAUUCAGUGGUGCACCCACCACAGGGAUGAUCCUCCUCCUCCUCCUAGGAUUAUGAGAACAAAGAGAAACGAACAGAUGAUAUACCUGUUUGGGAUCAAGAUACUUAGACGUCAAAGGUUUGCUUGAUGUUACCUGCAAGACUGUUGCUAAUAUGAUCAAGGGCAAAACUCCUGAGGAGAUUCGAAAGACAUUCAAUAUCAAAAAUGAUUUUACUGAAGAAGAGGAAGCCCAGGUACGCAAAGAGAACCAGUGGUGUGAGGAGAAGUGAAAUUUCGUGUCUGACGCUGUAACACUGUAAGGAUUAUUCCAAAUACUAGUUGCACUGCUUUGUUUAUAAUUGUUAAUGUUAGAAAAACAGUCAACAAAUGCAGCAGCAAGCCAAUUGUAUUAGCAGAAUGUUGUCCUCAUUGCAUGUGUAGUUUCAGUACAGUUCCCAAACUUAAGGCUCCGUUUCUUCUAGUAUGAUUGAAAGCUUCUUUUCUUUGCUCUGAAUAAAAUUGAACUGUGGGUUCCCUAUAGAAA
Capra hircus (goat) is the source of this 1163-nucleotide long non-coding RNA. RefSeq lists it as uncharacterized. NCBI's taxonomy places the organism in Eukaryota, Metazoa, Chordata, Mammalia, Artiodactyla, Bovidae. The transcript has 3 exons. The record is from RefSeq and is a predicted model, not a curated record.